Molecule: ribosomal RNA, 253 nt
Filed under: uncultured bacterium
Lineage: Bacteria
Description: partial 16S ribosomal RNA
Rfam family: Bacterial small subunit ribosomal RNA
Source: RNAcentral
UACGUAGGUGACCAGCGUUGUCCGGAUUUACUGGGCGUAAAGAGCGCGCAGGCGGUCGUUCAAGUCGAGUGUGAAAGCCCCCGGCUCAACUGGGGAGGGUCACGCGAUACUGUUCGACUCGAAGGCAGGAGAGGGAAGUGGAAUUCCCGGUGUAGUGGUGAAAUGCGUAGAUAUCGGGAGGAACACCAGUGGCGAAGGCGACUUCCUGGCCUGUUCUUGACGCUGAGGCGCGAAAGCUAGGGUAGCAAACGGG